This 433-nucleotide ribosomal RNA is filed under the name uncultured bacterium. RNAcentral describes it as "partial 16S ribosomal RNA". It matches the Rfam family "Bacterial small subunit ribosomal RNA", at positions 29 to 507 of the family's 1533-position model. The record is from RNAcentral.
AACGAACGCUGGCGGCAGGCCUAACACAUGCAAGUCGAGCGAGAUCUUCGGGUCUAGCGGCGGACGGGUGAGUAACGCGUGGGAAUAUGCCCUUCUCUGCGGAAUAGCCUCGGGAAACUGAGCGUAAUACCGCAUACGCCCUUUGGGGGAAAGAUUUAUCGGAGAAGGAUUAGCCCGCGUUGGAUUAGGUAGUUGGUGGGGUAACGGCCUAGCAAGCCGACGAUCCAUAGCUGGUUUGAGAGGAUGAUCAGCCACACUGGGACUGAGACACGGCCCAGACUCCUACGGGAGGCAGCAGUGGGGAAUCUUAGACAAUGGGGGCAACCCUGAUCUAGCCAUGCCGCGUGAGUGAUGAAGGCCUUAGGGUUGUAAAGCUCUUUCAGCUGGGAAGAUAAUGACGGUACCAGCAGAAGAAGCCCCGGCUAACUCCGUG